AACCAGACUCCUACGGGAGGCAGCAGUGGGGAAUAUUGGGCAAUGGGCGCAAGCCUGACCCAGCAACGCCGCGUGAAGGAAGAAGGCUUUCGGGUUGUAAACUUCUUUUCUCAGGGACGAAUAGAUGACGGUACCUGAGGAAUAAGCCACGGCUAACUACGUGCCAGCAGCCGCGGUAAUACGUAGGUGGCAAGCGUUAUCCGGAUUUACUGGGUGUAAAGGGCGUGUAGGCGGGAAAGCAAGUCAGAUGUGAAAACCAUGGGCUCAACCUGUGGCCUGCAUUUGAAACUGUUUUUCUUGAGUACUGGAGAGGCAGACGGAAUUCCUAGUGUAGCGGUGAAAUGCGUAGAUAUACGGAGGAACACCAGUGGCGAAGGCGGCCUGCUGGACAUUAACUGACGCUGAGGCGCGAAAGCGUGGGGAGCAAACAGGAUUAGAUACCCGAGUAC
This 449-nucleotide ribosomal RNA is filed under the name uncultured bacterium. RNAcentral's name for it is "bacterial SSU rRNA". It matches the Rfam family "Bacterial small subunit ribosomal RNA", at positions 329 to 793 of the family's 1533-position model. The record is from RNAcentral.